UAUGGGAGCGAGCUUGCUCGCGAAGGCGUCAGCCUGGUCAACAUUGGUAUUGUCUGACCCACCGCUAUCGCGAGCAGGCUCACUCCUACA
This 90-nucleotide unclassified non-coding RNA is filed under the name Pseudomonas sp. Z003-0.4C(8344-21). The record is from RNAcentral. Lineage: Bacteria; Pseudomonadati; Pseudomonadota; Gammaproteobacteria; Pseudomonadales; Pseudomonadaceae.